AGAGUGCUAAUGCUCCACUUUUAUUUUAAUAAAAGCACCUUGAACUGAGGUUUAGUUGGCGGCAAAUUCUCCCCUGAAUUACGUUCCUGACUCUGCUUAUUGAAGAAAAAGUGACAUUUCUGCCGAAUUUAUUAGAAAUCUGGAGGAAUGUGCAACACUGAUGGGAUUGUUCAAGCCGGGGAAAAAAAAAGUAGCAAGUGUGUAUGAUUUUUAUCUAGACCU
Molecule: long non-coding RNA, 222 nt
Filed under: Bos taurus (domestic cattle)
Lineage: Eukaryota; Metazoa; Chordata; Mammalia; Artiodactyla; Bovidae
Description: long non-coding RNA NONBTAT025967
Source: RNAcentral